RNAcentral lists this ribosomal RNA (450 nucleotides) under Vibrio sp. VibP-Oc-134. RNAcentral describes it as "bacterial SSU rRNA". It matches the Rfam family "Bacterial small subunit ribosomal RNA", at positions 17 to 453 of the family's 1533-position model. The record is from RNAcentral. Lineage: Bacteria; Pseudomonadati; Pseudomonadota; Gammaproteobacteria; Vibrionales; Vibrionaceae.
UCAUGGCUCAGAUUGAACGCUGGCGGCAGGCCUAACACAUGCAAGUCGAGCGGAAACGAGUUAUCUGAACCUUCGGGGAACGAUAACGGCGUCGAGCGGCGGACGGGUGAGUAAUGCCUAGGAAAUUGCCCUGAUGUGGGGGAUAACCAUUGGAAACGAUGGCUAAUACCGCAUAAUACCUUCGGGUCAAAGAGGGGGACCUUCGGGCCUCUCGCGUCAGGAUAUGCCUAGGUGGGAUUAGCUAGUUGGUGAGGUAAUGGCUCACCAAGGCGACGAUCCCUAGCUGGUCUGAGAGGAUGAUCAGCCACACUGGAACUGAGACACGGUCCAGACUCCUACGGGAGGCAGCAGUGGGGAAUAUUGCACAAUGGGCGCAAGCCUGAUGCAGCCAUGCCGCGUGUGUGAAGAAGGCCUUCGGGUUGUAAAGCACUUUCAGUCGUGAGGAAGGUA